Non-coding RNA from Pelobates cultripes (western spadefoot toad), 807 nucleotides. Lineage: Eukaryota; Metazoa; Chordata; Amphibia; Anura; Pelobatidae. The record is from the annotation of a GenBank genome assembly.
GGGAGCUGACGGGCCUUUUACAUAGGAAACACCACAAAAAAGUAAUUAGGCACAAGGCUUUUUUCCAGAUCCACGGCAAUAAGAGUGGUAAACUGCUGGCCAGAAUGCUAGUCAAACAAAGACAAAGGACAUACAUUUACAAAAUGAGAGACACACAGGGCACCCUACAUCACUUAUCCUCUAAAAUCCUAGACAUAACGCGGGACUACUACUCAAUCCUGUAUGCCAUCCCCCGAUCCCAACUAGACAAGGCCAAAGAGGAUCUAUGGGAGAGAAUACAAACCUAUCUAACGACCCACCCCCUCCCGUCCAUAGAAGGGGAAAUCGCAGACAGUCUAGACGAACCAAUCUCAACAGAGGAAGUAGCUCAGGCCAUCAAAGUGACAAAACAGGGUAAAAGCCCAGGCCCGGAGGGCUACCACUAAAGUAUUACAAAUCGUUCGUGAAACACUUAUAUCCCCCUCCCCUAGACGCACUGAACGCACUGAGGAAAGGACAUCACCUUCCAAAACAAGCACUAACAGCACACAUCGCACUCAUCCCGAAGGAGGGAAAGGACAGGGAACACUGUGGGAACUAUAGGCCCAUCUCGCUCAUCAACUGCGAUGUCAAACUGUUGGCAAAAAUAUUGGCUACACGCCUCCAAACACACAUUCCCACACUAAUACACCCGGACCAGGUGUCAGGAUUACUGUUUGAUCCAGCACGGAUGACAAAUAAGUAACGUGUUACCGGUCCUUAGAAUGGCCGGAUUUAACGUACAAAGAAUAGUCAAAAAUACUAGCCGAGGUCAGGGAACACAGAAAG